Molecule: ribosomal RNA, 455 nt
Filed under: uncultured bacterium
Lineage: Bacteria
Description: bacterial SSU rRNA
Rfam family: Bacterial small subunit ribosomal RNA
Source: RNAcentral
CUUACGGUCGUAAAGCUCUUUCGCCAGAGAUGAUAAUGACAGUAUCUGGUAAAGAAACCCCGGCUAACUCCGUGCCAGCAGCCGCGGUAAUACGGAGGGGGUUAGCGUUGUUCGGAAUUACUGGGCGUAAAGCGUACGUAGGCGGAUUGGAAAGUAUGGGGUGAAAUCCCAGGGCUCAACCCUGGAACUGCCCUGUAAACUAUCAAUCUAGAGUUCGAGAGAGGUGAGUGGAAUUCCAAGUGUAGAGGUGAAAUUCGUAGAUAUUUGGAGGAACACCAGUGGCGAAGGCGGCUCACUGGCUCGAUACUGACGCUGAGGUACGAAAGUGUGGGGAGCAAACAGGAUUAGAUACCCUGGUAGUCCACACCGUAAACGAUGAAUGCCAGACGUCGGGGGGCUUGCCCUUCGGUGUCACACCUAACGGAUUAAGCAUUCCGCCUGGGGAGUACGGUCGC